This 245-nucleotide ribosomal RNA is filed under the name uncultured Actinomycetales bacterium. Its description in RNAcentral is "partial 16S ribosomal RNA". It matches the Rfam family "Bacterial small subunit ribosomal RNA", at positions 86 to 334 of the family's 1533-position model. Lineage: Bacteria; Bacillati; Actinomycetota; Actinomycetes; Actinomycetales. The record is from RNAcentral.
AGUACUCGAGUGGCGAACGGGUGAGUAACACGUGGGUAAUCUGCCCUGCACUCUGGGAUAAGCCUGGGAAACUGGGUCUAAUACCGGAUAGGACCAUGCUUUAGUGUGUGUGGUGGAAAGUUUUUUCGGUGUAGGAUGAGCCCGCGGCCUAUCAGCUUGUUGGUGGGGUAAUGGCCUACCAAGGCGGCGACGGGUAGCCGGACUGAGAGGUUGGUCGGCCACAUUGGGACUGAGAUACGGCCCAG